RNAcentral lists this ribosomal RNA (253 nucleotides) under uncultured bacterium. Its description in RNAcentral is "partial 16S ribosomal RNA". It matches the Rfam family "Bacterial small subunit ribosomal RNA", at positions 524 to 776 of the family's 1533-position model. The record is from RNAcentral.
UACGUAGGGGGCAAGCGUUGUCCGGAAUCAUUGGGCGUAAAGCGCGUGUAGGCGGCCAGGUAAGUCCGUUCUGAAAGCCCGGGGCUCAACCCCGGGAGGCGGAUGGAUACUGCUUGGCUCGAGUCCGGAAGAGGCGAGUGGAAUUCCCGGUGUAGCGGUGAAAUGCGCAGAUAUCGGGAGGAACACCAAUGGCGAAGGCAGCUCGCUGGGACGGUACUGACGCUGAGGAGCGAAAGCAUGGGGAGCGAACAGG